CGAACCGACCGCGCGCAAGGAUCUUGCGGAACUGGUGCAGCACGCGACCGACGUCGGACUUUAUUCCAAUCUAAUUACAUCGGCAGUACUGCUGACGAAGGACAAGCUGCGCGCGCUGGCCGAUGCCGGCUUUUGCCCUAUUCAGAUCAGCUUCCAGGGCAACGAGCCAGCGGUGGCGGAUCGUGUCGCCGGCAUGAAGGAUGCACACGCCAAGAAGAUCGAGGUGGCGCAUUGGGCGCGCGAACUCGAUCUGCCGCUCACCGUCAACGCUGUGAUGCAUCGGCAGAACCUGCACCAGCUUGCCGACAUCAUCCAGAUGGCGGUCGAUCUCGAUGCCGACCGGCUCGAAGUCGCCAACGUGCA
Molecule: unclassified non-coding RNA, 363 nt
Filed under: Hevea brasiliensis (rubber tree)
Lineage: Eukaryota; Viridiplantae; Streptophyta; Magnoliopsida; Malpighiales; Euphorbiaceae
Source: RNAcentral